UGGUUUCAGUCAUCUUCUUUAUGGCCUCGGCAUGAUUUUUUUUAUUCUUACCCCAAUAGUUCUCAGGUGAGGGACCCAAUCCUACCAUUCAAAUAUGCCCAUUUUUCUCUUGUCCUAUGAUUGUUGCAUAUAGAUCAUCAGGAGCGACACCUUUUUUAUUUAUGAUCUUGUCCUAUACACUUAAUUGUACAUAAGGACUUCAG
RNAcentral lists this long non-coding RNA (203 nucleotides) under Elaeis guineensis (African oil palm). RNAcentral describes it as "long non-coding RNA (EGUI_LNC050827)". Lineage: Eukaryota; Viridiplantae; Streptophyta; Magnoliopsida; Arecales; Arecaceae. The record is from RNAcentral.